GGAGACGUCGCAUAGCCUGGUCGAGUGCGCCCGCCUGCUAAGUGGGUAGGGGCCCAAAAGCCCCUCGAGGGUUCAAAUCCCUCCGUCUCCG
RNAcentral lists this transfer RNA (91 nucleotides) under Aquiluna sp. RNAcentral's name for it is "tRNA-Ser". It matches the Rfam family "tRNA". Rfam says of the family: Transfer RNA (tRNA) molecules are approximately 80 nucleotides in length. Their secondary structure includes four short double-helical elements and three loops (D, anti-codon, and T loops). Further hydrogen bonds mediate the characteristic L-shaped molecular structure. tRNAs have two regions of fundamental functional importance: the anti-codon, which is responsible for specific mRNA codon recognition, and the 3' end, to which the tRNAs corresponding amino acid is attached (by aminoacyl-tRNA synthetases). tRNAs cope with the degeneracy of the genetic code in two manners: having more than one tRNA (with a specific anti-codon) for a particular amino acid; and 'wobble' base-pairing, i.e. permitting non-standard base-pairing at the 3rd anti-codon position. The record is from RNAcentral. RNAcentral also lists the same sequence under 1 other name. Lineage: Bacteria; Bacillati; Actinomycetota; Actinomycetes; Micrococcales; Microbacteriaceae.